This 491-nucleotide ribosomal RNA is filed under the name uncultured bacterium. RNAcentral describes it as "partial 16S ribosomal RNA". It matches the Rfam family "Bacterial small subunit ribosomal RNA", at positions 29 to 507 of the family's 1533-position model. The record is from RNAcentral.
GUGAACGCUGGCGGUGGGCCUAACACAUGCAAGUCGAACGGCAGCACCGUAAGAGCUUGCUCUUACGGGUGGCGAGUGGCGGACGGGUGAGGAAUACAUCGGAAUCUACUUUUUCGUGGGGGAUAACGUAGGGAAACUUACGCUAAUACCGCAUACGACCUACGGGUGAAAGCAGGGGAUCUUCGGACCUUGCGCGAUUGAAUGAGCCGAUGUCGGAUUAGCUAGUUGGCGGGGUAAAGGCCCACCAAGGCGACGAUCCGUAGCUGGUCUGAGAGGAUGAUCAGCCACACUGGGACUGAGACACGGUCCAGACUCCUACGGGAGGCAGCAGUGGGGAAUAUUGGACAAUGGGCGCAAGCCUGAUCCAGCCAUACCGCGUGGGUGAAGAAGGCCUUCGGGUUGUAAAGCCCUUUUGUUGGGAAAGAAAAGCAGCAGGUUAAUACCCCGCUGUUCUGACGGUACCCAAAGAAUAAGCACCGGCUAACUUCGUG